This 234-nucleotide ribosomal RNA is filed under the name Salmonella enterica. Its description in RNAcentral is "partial 23S ribosomal RNA". It matches the Rfam family "Bacterial large subunit ribosomal RNA", at positions 1 to 235 of the family's 2925-position model. The record is from RNAcentral. Lineage: Bacteria; Pseudomonadati; Pseudomonadota; Gammaproteobacteria; Enterobacterales; Enterobacteriaceae.
GGUUAAGCGACUAAGCGUACACGGUGGAUGCCCUGGCAGUCAGAGGCGAUGAAGGACGUGCUAAUCUGCGAUAAGCGCCGGUAAGGUGAUAUGAACCGUUAUAACCGGCGAUUUCCGAAUGGGGAAACCCAGUGUGACUCGUCACACUAUCAUUAACUGAAUCCAUAGGUUAAUGAGGCGAACCGGGGGAACUGAAACAUCUAAGUACCCCGAGGAAAAGAAAUCAACCGAGAU